This is a non-coding RNA of Rattus norvegicus (Norway rat), 69 nucleotides long. Lineage: Eukaryota; Metazoa; Chordata; Mammalia; Rodentia; Muridae. The record is from Rfam.
GGGGAUUUAGCUCAGUGGUAGAGCACUUACCUAACAAGCACAAGGUCCUGGGUUCGGUCCCCAGCUCCG